RNAcentral lists this small RNA (541 nucleotides) under Pongo abelii (Sumatran orangutan). Its description in RNAcentral is "retained intron". Lineage: Eukaryota; Metazoa; Chordata; Mammalia; Primates; Hominidae. The record is from RNAcentral.
AGCUCCAUGAACUUGCCUCCAGACAAGGCCCGGCUCCUGCGGCAGUAUGACAAUGAGAAGAAAUGGGAUCUGAUCUGUGACCAGGAACGAUUCCAGGUGAAGAAUCCUCCCCACACUUACAUUCAGAAACUCCAGAGCUUCUUGGACCCCAGUGUAACUCGGAAGAAGUUCAGGAGGAGGGUGCAGGAGUCAACCAAAGUACUAAGGGAGCUGGAGAUCUCUCUUCGCACCAACCACAUUGGGUGGGUGCGGGAAUUUCUGAAUGAUGAAAACAAAGGCCUGGAUGUACUGGUGGAUUACCUGUCCUUUGCCCAGUGUUCUGUCAUGUGAGUACCACCCCGGGGCUAAGGUUAGGGACCAGUUCCAUUCUACUUUGAUAAGGAAGGGUGAGAAUUCAACAAUGAAGAUGGAAAUGGGAAUCCUGGACAGGAGGGAAUAGCCCAAGCAGUGGUGUGGAAGUAGGCAGGCAAGCCCAGAGAUGUCUGGGGAUCAGUGAAGAAUGGCACUUGGCUGGAGUAGAAGAUAAGAUGCAUUUUGGAGA